RNAcentral lists this ribosomal RNA (423 nucleotides) under uncultured bacterium. Its description in RNAcentral is "bacterial SSU rRNA". It matches the Rfam family "Bacterial small subunit ribosomal RNA", at positions 30 to 453 of the family's 1533-position model. The record is from RNAcentral.
AUUGAACGCUGGCGGCAUGCCUUACACAUGCAAGUCGAACGGCAGCGCGGGGCAACCUGGCGGCGAGUGGCGAACGGGUGAGUAAUAUAUCGGAACGUGCCCUGGAGUGGGGGAUAACGUAGCGAAAGUUACGCUAAUACCGCAUACGAUCCAAGGAUGAAAGCAGGGGACCUUCGGGCCUUGUGCUCCUGGAACGGCCGAUAUCUGAUUAGCUAGUUGGUGGGGUAAAAGCCUACCAAGGCGACGAUCAGUAGCUGGUCUGAGAGGACGACCAGCCACACUGGAACUGAGACACGGUCCAGACUCCUACGGGAGGCAGCAGUGGGGAAUUUUGGACAAUGGGGGCAACCCUGAUCCAGCAAUGCCGCGUGUGUGAAGAAGGCCUUCGGGUUGUUAAAGGCACUUUGUUCAGGAACGAAACGG